GACGAACGCUGGCGGCGUGCCUAAUACAUGCAAGUUGAGCGCUGAAGGUUGGUACUUGUACCAACUGGAUGAGCAGCGAACGGGUGAGUAACGCGUGGGGAAUCUGCCUUUGAGCGGGGGACAACAUUUGGAAACGAAUUCUAAUACCGCAUAAAAACUUUAAACACAAGUUUUAAGUUUGAAAGAUGCAAUUGCAUCACUCAAAGAUGAUCCCGCGUUGUAUUAGCUAGUUGGUGAGGUAAAGGCUCACCAAGGCGAUGAUACAUAGCCGACCUGAGAGGGUGAUCGGCCACAUUGGGACUGAGACACGGCCCAAACUCCUACGGGAGGCAGCAGGAGGGAAUCUUCGGCAAUGGACGAAAGUCUGACCGAGCAACGCCGCGGGAGGGAAGAAGGGUGUCGGAUCGUAAAACUCUGUUGGUAGAGAAGAACGUUGGUGAGAGUGGAAAGCUCAUCAAGUGACGGUAACUACCCAGAAAGGGACGGCUAACUACGUG
This 497-nucleotide ribosomal RNA is filed under the name uncultured bacterium. Its description in RNAcentral is "partial 16S ribosomal RNA". It matches the Rfam family "Bacterial small subunit ribosomal RNA", at positions 28 to 507 of the family's 1533-position model. The record is from RNAcentral.